Long non-coding RNA from Mangifera indica (mango), 2052 nucleotides. RefSeq lists it as uncharacterized. The record is from RefSeq and is a predicted model, not a curated record. Lineage: Eukaryota; Viridiplantae; Streptophyta; Magnoliopsida; Sapindales; Anacardiaceae. The transcript has 2 exons.
UUUGUUUCUUUUUUCAAUUUUAAAUUAAUAUCUCUUUUGAAAUAAAAUUCAUUUAAUUUUAUAUUCUCUGCAUCUUUUACAGGUGGAAGUUGAAGUUUUGAUGAGCUUGAGGGGAAGUGAAGGACGAAAUGGAGAGCUUUUUGAGAUUUGGCAAAGAGUCAACUGGAUGUUGCAGACAAUUUGGGAAAGGUUGGUGGUGUGGCGUUUUUGUUUUUUUUAGGGUUUUCGGGAAUAUGACUUUCCUGCCCUUCCAUGUAAUGGUUUACACUAUCAGAAUUGACGAACAAGUGGAGAAAUGGACUUUUCAAACUUAAAGGGUGGGAUAUAUCAUUUGGUGGGACAUAGUCAUUCGGCCACGUGAGUAUUGUUUUAAGAUUUAAAAGUGAGUAAAUGGUGUUUGUUAUGGUGUUGCAAUAAAGUUGGUUUAGAUUAUAAUAUGGGCCAUCAGCUUUGAUUCAUAUCAUUAUUUUAACCAUGUUACUAAAUCAUCUGUCAAUGUAUGGUAUACUUGGAAUUCUUAGUGCAAACUAUGUAAAUCCUUAAAUUUUAUUGCUAUUUUUUAUUGGUCUUGAGUUGAAAUAUGGAAUAGCUGUGAGCUUAUUUUUUAUCAAGAGGGAAAAGAAAUCUCCUGGUGUGUUUCUCAGGCUUAGGCUUUCUCUUUAAUGGGAGAUCACUUGGUACUGUGCUCUGGGGCUGUCACUUUACUGGAGAUGGGAGGCUUCUGCAUGAAUGUUUCAAAAUUCAUGAUUGUUCCUUAUGAUUAUUUUAUAAUUUUUGGCAGCAGCACCACCUUUCAAUUAUUUUGUCCUAAAAAAGGUGCUAGCGAAGGUAUCUUCCAUUAUUGAGUUUUUGGCUGCCUUUAAGAUAAGGGUUAUAGGGAGAAUACAUGAUUCUAAAUGUUUUUGUUGGCUUCUGUGAAGGAGAACAUUCAAAUAUCUUUGAUUGGAGAUAUCUCUAAGCCCAAAAGUCCUUGGAAGAAAUUAAUAAUCAAUAUGGAUAAGAGUACUAAGAACAAUACCCAAUUCCAACUUAUUGUUGCAGUUAGCUAUAGUGGGCGGUUUGAACAUUAAUUGAACAAUGAUGUUAUCAUUGAACCUAAUGAUGUUAAAUGAGUCAUUAAUUGAACAGGAACUGGAACUAGACUGUACUGAAUUUCCCCAUCCUGAUCUACUUGUAUGGACCAGUGGUGAGCCUGGAAUUUGUAAUUUCAUGUUAUGGCAUUUAGCCUAUAUUGAAUUAAUCUUUGCAGAAUCACUGUAGCCUGAUUUUGGAGAAGCUGACUCUUUAGAGGCACUGCAAUAUUUCCAAUGAAGGCAGAGACGCAAUGGUGAAUGAAACUUUGACAAUAUAUAUCUGUCAAAGUCUUUUAUCAUUUGAUUGAAAAGAAGUCCAAGAACCUACCAACUUCAGGAAGCAACUUGGAAGGAAAACUUGCUAGGAGCUUAUUGUUGAAGUGAAUUUGAUAUCUGGAAGGGUUUAAUUAGCAUUUAGAUUUCUGAAGGUUAAUGUUGCAGUAGUCUUCAAGGAAGACACAUCUGAGUUGUGGGUAGCAGUUUUAGACAUUUACCUAAAGAAUUUAUCUACAGAACUUUAUCAGCACCAAGACCAUUUACAACAGAGUAUAAAAAAUCCAGGUAAAAGCAAUGAUGAAUUUCUGGGAAAACAAGGAGUUAUUGGAGAUGCAGCUCUGUUAUAUACUUGGGAAAAAUUUUCUUGUCAUGAUUUUCAAGGUCUCUUACUAUACUUGUACAUGGAACCAAUUCACAAAUCUGUUUCUACUGUUGGCAUCAAAUUCAACUGUGCAAGAAAGAAGAUGAGGAAGGCUGAAUCUCUAGUGGCAAUGGGCACAAUCAGGUAUUAAAUUGCAGUGUUGUGUUGUGUGUGGCUUUAGCUUUUAUAAGUAGAAGUGAAAUCCUGUAAGCAAAUGGUUGCUUCUCCCACUACUAGUAUUGUAGUUGGUUAGGAGGAUACUUCAUUUUCUGGAAUCCUUAAUUAGAGGUUCAUAUGUCAUUGUCUAAUCAUUUUCAAUUAGUAUGAGUUUUACCUUCUCAA